Siniperca chuatsi (mandarin fish) is the source of this 1653-nucleotide long non-coding RNA. RefSeq lists it as uncharacterized. The record is from RefSeq and is a predicted model, not a curated record. Lineage: Eukaryota; Metazoa; Chordata; Actinopteri; Centrarchiformes; Sinipercidae. The transcript has 3 exons.
GGAACGAGGCAAGAUGUCUUCCACAGAACAGGGACCCUUUGAAGACUCUGGCUCAGGUUGAAGACAUGUUGAAGGACUCCACACUUAUACAGUAGUUAAUUGCACAGCAUCACCUGUAAAGCAAAUACUACUGGAGCUGGUGGGGGUUAAUUGUUUUUUCAAGGUCACACAGCAGUAUUAUAGCACCCACAGCAGUGACAUCAGGUUGUAGGUCCAAUUCAUGGACUUAACACAAUUUUUAAUUUGCUGCUUUCGUCAGCCAUCCAAAUGCCAGUACAUACCUACACUCCCUGAGCUGCCACUCCAAGACAUCAAACCUGUGACCUUUGUGUAACUGGUCUGUAAGUUUGAGGGUGUGUCCGUGUGCUCAUGAACAAUGGCUAUUCAAACUUAGCAGACAGCAUAACGUCAGCAGUAUGUCGCUGAAUGAAACAUUUGGAGCGUGAAUGUCUAAGAAUAGGCAUAUCCUGGUAAGAUCUUGUGUCUGGUAUUUGGGAUUCAGCAUGUGCACUUUAAUAUCCCCAUGUCAUUCAGGUUUAGCUAUAUCUGCUAUUUGAGGAUUAACACCUCCUGACAACAGCAAACAUUGUGUUUCCUCAUCUUUAGCAGAUCACACACGGAAUACUAAUAUGCUUUGUUCCAGUAGGAACUAGAGAAUCUAGAGAAUGGAUUCUGUGAGGAGAAGAUGUGAUGUCCCACUGGCUUAGCCAUAUCUCUUUACACUUGUUCCUGUCACCUCCCAGAAUUUCUGACUGCAAAAGAAAACUAAUUUUCAUCCUUUUCAGGGGAGGGCCUUGGAUCACAUGACUUAAGCAGUUAAAAAUACUAUUUAGUAUGCUUUUCCACCAAAUAAAUAAUGGAAAAAUAAUUAAAUAAUAAUAUUGUAUAUCACUAGUUGAAGGCUUUGUGUGCUGAGAGUGAUAUCUGCCAUGAGUCAGUAGCUUGAGGGAGUUGAGAGAUCUUUUUCUUUUUAAAAGCAGUGAAUGUUACCUUUGUGCUGCUUCUGUGACUCAAAAGGACAGAUAGCUUUGUUGGCCUCUGGAUGGGUUUGUUAGAUAUAGCCAGAAUAAAAUCGUGUUUUCUCUCUGUCUCUCCAGCACUUAAUAUUGGCGUUUGUCAGGGAAUAUUAGAGUGGCUGAACACACAGGGUCAUAGCUGACAGAGAAUGUGCCUCUGUCUUCUUGUCUCUGUACUGGUUGCCAAAAGAGGCUCUGGACAAUGUGUCUGAACAAACUGUCUGCUCUAUUCUGUUCACAGGCGAGAGCCCAGCAAAAAUAAAUGAAAGAGGUCAGAAAAAUAACCUUCAAAAUCACCCUACACACCUGUUCUGCUGCACUUCUCCAGCUCACCUGUUUUCCAUCCACCAGUCAAGACCCUGCAGUGUAUCUACUCGGCUCUUUACUCCAGUCUUUACCCGAUCAUCCGUUUGCCUCCGUGGUUCACUGCUCGAUUCAGCUCCUGGAUCCUCAUUACCUCGCCUGUUUCUACAAAAGAUUUUCCACUCCGGGACCUGCUCUAGCCAGCUGUCUCUGCUCUACCUACCUGCUCCGCCGGACUCACAGCCAGUCCAGCUUCUUCGUUCUUCGGAUAGGUCCAUCUCGCCCGGUUAAUCCAUUCCUCCUGGUUGUUAAAUAAACUGAGGUCUUUCCACUA